Molecule: ribosomal RNA, 248 nt
Filed under: uncultured Ruminiclostridium sp.
Lineage: Bacteria; Bacillati; Bacillota; Clostridia; Eubacteriales; Oscillospiraceae
Description: partial 16S ribosomal RNA
Rfam family: Bacterial small subunit ribosomal RNA
Source: RNAcentral
UACGGAGGAUGCGAGCGUUAUCCGGAUUUAUUGGGUUUAAAGGGCGUGUAGGCGGGAGAGCAAGUCAGAUGUGAAAUUCCAGGGCUCAACCCUGGAACUGCAUUUGAAACUGUUUUUCUUGAGUGAUGGAGAGGCAGGCGGAAUUCCGUGUGUAGCGGUGAAAUGCGUAGAUAUACGGAGGAACACCAGUGGCGAAGGCGGAUUGCUGGACAGUAACUGACGCUGAGGCGCGAAAGCGUGGGGAGCAA